AACACACACACACACACACACGCAGCACCAUCCGUUGCACUUUUAUUUCGACUUUGAUUCGUUCUUAGUUCCGUGUCGCCGCCGCCGUUACCGAUGACGAUGGCAAACCCUGACGCCAAUGUUAAAGUAAAAAUUACAGGAAAAA
RNAcentral lists this long non-coding RNA (145 nucleotides) under Polistes fuscatus (common paper wasp). RNAcentral's name for it is "uncharacterized LOC122516939". Lineage: Eukaryota; Metazoa; Arthropoda; Insecta; Hymenoptera; Vespidae. The record is from RNAcentral.